AUGGAUGUGAUGAUUAUUUCCCCAGAUGAUCGAAUCUGAAAUAACUGAGCGCUCAUAUUCAAUUUUUCUCUUUCUGGAGAAAAAUCCAAGCCAGAAAUCUGAUCCAU
Molecule: small nucleolar RNA, 107 nt
Organism: Cynara cardunculus var. scolymus (artichoke)
Lineage: Eukaryota; Viridiplantae; Streptophyta; Magnoliopsida; Asterales; Asteraceae
Product: small nucleolar RNA Z103
Exons: 1
Source: RefSeq, a predicted model, not a curated record